GAGAGAUGGCUGAGUGGUUGGAUAGCCCCGGUCU
RNAcentral lists this transfer RNA (34 nucleotides) under Anathallis brevipes. RNAcentral's name for it is "partial tRNA-Ser". The record is from RNAcentral. Lineage: Eukaryota; Viridiplantae; Streptophyta; Magnoliopsida; Asparagales; Orchidaceae.